UGGGGGAUAUUGCACAAUGGGCGAAAGCCUGAUGCAGCGACGCCGCGUGGGGGAUGAAGGCUUUCGGGUUGUAAACCUCUUUCGCUAUCGAACAAGGCCCGCUUAGGGUGGGUUGAGGGUAGGUGGAUAAGAAGCGCCGGCUAACUACGUGCCAGCAGCCGCGGUAAUACGUAGGGCGCGAGCGUUGUCCGGAAUUAUGGGGCGUAUAGGGUUUGUAGGCGGCUUGUUGCGCCUGCUGUGAAAACGCGGGGCUUAACUUCGGGCGUGCAGUGGGUACGGGCAGGCUUGAGUGUGGUAGGGGUGACUGGAAUUCCAGGUGUAGCGGUGGAAUGCGCAGAUAUCUGGAGGAACAACGAUGGCGAAGGCAGGUCACUGGGCCAUUACUGACGAUGAGGAGCAAAAGCAUGGGUAGCGAACAGG
Molecule: ribosomal RNA, 420 nt
Filed under: bacterium
Lineage: Bacteria
Description: partial 16S ribosomal RNA
Rfam family: Bacterial small subunit ribosomal RNA
Source: RNAcentral